This 1868-nucleotide ribosomal RNA is filed under the name Triticum aestivum (bread wheat). RNAcentral's name for it is "partial small subunit ribosomal RNA". Lineage: Eukaryota; Viridiplantae; Streptophyta; Magnoliopsida; Poales; Poaceae. The record is from RNAcentral.
GAGUCGGUUGUCAUAAUUAGGGGAGGGGGGGAAGGGAGGGAACUUCAGGUGUACUCGUCGAGACUAACAAGGAGUUCGAGCCAGAGCCGCAUCCUUCUUCUUUCCCUUCGGAUCCUAUCCGGGACGAGUGGAAGGCGGCGGUGGUUUGCGAAGAACCACCCCGUUCCUUCCUUAACGGCCUUUUCGGAGAGGGGACGGAGGGCAAGAGAAGAAGAAAUUGAUCGGAACCGCUAACGGAUCUCCAAGUCUUCCCGUCUCGCGGCCUCGGCCUGUCUCUCUCCCCGUCCAAACACCCCUAGCCCUUCUACUACCGCUCCGCCCGGAACCAACGGUAACGCCAAGAACGCCGCCGCCGCCGCGACGAACAACGCCGCCUCCGGGUCGUCCGCGGCCGCGUCGUCCCGGUGGUCUGUCUCUCCUAGAGUCCCUCACGACCACUGCACGACCUGCUACUGGGACAACCCUCCGAGUUCCACAAAUAGAUACUGGAGGGACCUUUUAUGUUGUUCUUCGACGACUUCUUUCUGGGUUCCACGGACUUGGUGUACAAGCGGCGCCUCUAGAAGUACGUGGCCAAGGACGACAGCUCGCGCCAAGCCUGGUGAUUAGGGCUCCUUCGCCUAACCAAGAUGUGUGGACACAUGGGCUGUACGCUGGACUGCGGAAGCCCAGAGGGGAACGGGAAGUUCAGAGGCGCCUACUACGCGUCGCGCUAGCUCGACUAGCGCUGCUUUACCGGAAUGACCUUAUCUAGCCUCCCCCGUCUAGUAAAGAAACAGUGCGGUGUACUGAAACCGCGAACGAAGGUAAUAGUCCUUCUCUUUCGUUAACCCGCUCCUUAGGAAGGGAACGAAGUCGCACGGUGUGACCAAGUCUGGAAACCUGUCUUCUUGGUACAGACGAACUUCCUUCCGAGGUAGUGUUAAGGCGGUAAACGCGGAGGCGUCUUUUACGUCUUAGUGGAAUAAGGACCGCUCUGGGGAGCUAGGUAGAAGCGUAUGAAGGCACCAAACAAGAUACUGUGGCCGUUACUAGGACUCCCACCUAUGAUACGGUCUCCACGAGCACGUAGACAGACCCUCUUGAAGUUCUUGUUGGGCGACAAGCUGUAGAGUUGGCUAGUGGGUGGCUGUAUGAUACUUCUAUACGUCUCCAGACACAAGACGGACACGGGUAACCCGACCCGUGGUACCUCGGGGUCUGACCACCUUCGGCACCAAAAGCCGACGUAGGGCCACUAGUAGCGUCUGCUGUAGCAGGACGGGAAGCGCCUACGGUAGGGUACCCUCCUCUAGCCGCACAAACAAGGACUCCUCCUGCAGGGCUCCGACCUGUCGUAGGACUGUAGGUAAGGUUGUCUCCUGUAUGACUCCUUCGUUUCCGAAGAGCGUUUGGGAAGCUACUUCGUCCGGUACGACAAGGGGGUCGGUCGAGUUCGUCCUCUACGCAAGGUAGUCUAUGAAUUGCCCGAACGGGCGUUCGAAGGCGUACCGCUUCUACAGAAGAACUUCGGGCCGGUCCGGGCAGACUUGACCUGACGACCGGGCCACCCACUGGACUUCGGCACCAUCGUAGAGAGCGUAGCGCCAACCUCUACAUAUUUUUGGAAAAACUUUUAUUUGUAAAAGUCCGGACUAUAUGAAACGCGGAAAUAUGGCGGUACCAACGUGUCACGACUGGUAUUCAGUUUACAUGUAGAAAAAAAGAAAAUGGAAGAAACGACUAUCGAUCAUAUGGUAUCUCGAAGUAGGGAAAAAAAAGGGAAAGAAGAAAAAUAUAAUCAACUACUUUACACAGUUGGUAACACGUCAAACAAGCAAUAUACACCUAUACUAUUACCUUUAACGUUCUAAAUUUGGGAUAACUGG